UACGUAGGGGGCUAGCGUUGUCCGGAAUCCUUGGGCGUAAAGCGCGUGUAGGCGGUCAUAUAAGUUUGUUGUGUAAGUCGGAGGCUCAACCUUCGAAAGCCGAUGGAUACUGUAUGACUUGAGUACGGAAGAGGAGAGUGGAAUUCCUGGUGUAGCGGUGAAAUGCGCAGAUAUCAGGAGGAACACCAACGGCGAAGGCAGCUCUCUGGGACGUAACUGACGCUGAGACGCGAAAGCGUGGGGAGCAAACAGG
RNAcentral lists this ribosomal RNA (253 nucleotides) under uncultured bacterium. RNAcentral describes it as "partial 16S ribosomal RNA". It matches the Rfam family "Bacterial small subunit ribosomal RNA", at positions 524 to 776 of the family's 1533-position model. The record is from RNAcentral.